ACAAGAAUUAACGUUUCGGGUCCGGUGAUCCUUCCUUCAGAACUGUGCUCCGAAACAUUACCUCUGUUUCUCUCUUCACGAAUGCUGCCGGACCUGCCGAGUUUCCCCAGCCUUUUCUUUUUAUAUGUCACCGCUGCCGCAUUCGUCCGGCUUCACCCUGAAGCGGCGAUGCUCAGACGAAUGAGCUGAGCAUCCCUUACCAGCCAAAACACACCACAGAGAACAAAACCAAAGUUGCUGGAAAAGCUCAGCAGGUGUGGCAGCGUCUGUGAAGGAAAAAAAUCAGAAUUAACGUUUCGAGUCCGGUGACCCUUCCUCGGAACUGAGGACCACGGAGAAUCAUCCCGUCGCGUAAAGACUGCCCAAUCAAAAAGGAAAGGAAUUCCACACUACAGGGCUAAGACUCCCAAAUGCAAGUCCACCAAAAGCAAGUUAAAAGAAGCAACAGAAAAGGUGAUCAGAGAUGAUGGGAACUGCAGAUGCUGGAGAAUCCGAGAUUAAAGUGUGGAGCUGGAUCAACACAGCAGGACAAGCAGCAUCUUAGGAGCACAAAAGCUGACGUUUCGGUCCUAGACCCUUCAGCAGAAAAAAGCUCAGCUAAUUGAAGCAAUUCACACACUAACCUGAUACCUGAAGAGGAUCACACCCGAAACAGAGAAGAAUAUGGGGACCGGGGGGGGGGGGAAAGAGGCUUUUUUUAAAAAAAAUCAUGCCUGUUGUAAUUUUUCUAUUGGACAUUUUGUUCUGGAAAUAUCAGUCAGUUUGAUAUCACUAUUCUAAACUUUUAGCUUGACAAGUUUACAUUUCUGCUAAAUAGAAAAUGUCUUUUUGUGUUUUGCAUUUCUGUACAAUAAGAAAUGAUAAUUGACAUUUAAAUUUAUUUUCAGGAGUCACAAUGAAAAGAAAUUGGAGGACAAUAGACAGUGUUGAAAUAGAUCAAACUAAACCUAUUGAAUUAAUUCAUCAGAACAUUCCUUCUGGUUAAUGGAAAAACAGUAAAGGAAAAGCCAAAUAACACAGUAAUAUACACUAUUGAGGGGUCAUGACCAAUACUUUUUAUUGGAGUUGAUAAAUUAGAACAGAGAAAAUAGAAUGAACACUUUAUGCAUAGAGUACUAUUUUGAUUUUAAUUUAAAAUCUAACACCAAGUGAGUAAAUUAAAACAUAUUAAAUUUGAGUGAACGGUCACAUCCGCUUUGAACAAAUAUUCAGUCACCUUUUCACGUUGGUGCAGUAUUGUAUCAAGCUUUCCUGUUCAAUUUAAAACCUCAACAUUCUUAAUUAAUCUUGCCUUUCUCCUUUCUAAAGGGAAACACAGAAUAUGUGAGUUGAAUACAUCUAGAACUUAUUUGUAAGUACAAACAUAAAUUUGCCAAAUUUGGCCAACCAAUAAUUUACACCACAGGAGAAAAAAUUCUGAUUUGUUGGCAAGUUUACUCUGGUUAGUCGAGGCACUGCCACGAAGGAAGCAUUGGGAAUACAAUUGGUGUAAAUUUUGCUUUCUUGCAUUUGUCCUCAUGAAAAGCUUCUGCAGCUUGUAUCUGUUCUCAAAUGCGCAAUAUUUUAUGCAUUGAUCAUUUUUUAAAGCCUUAUUUACACAAGUAGUUCAUUUAGAAUAGGCACUGGAUUUAUAAAUGAAAAAACAGUCUUUGUCUUCAUAAAUGUUAAUCCAUAAGCAAAAUAUAUACAAUGUGCACCACGGAAUUUUGAAUGUAAAUAUCUGAUAAUUAAUUAAAUCUCUAUAUAACCUACAAGUCCUUUGUUUUUUUGCUGCUGAAAAUACCACAGUAAAGACAGCUCAAAGAAAACCUGCAAUUUUGUCAGAUUACAUUUGGCAUUUAUACACAAGUCCAUUUUGUUAGCAUGUAUAUUUAUUUAAUAAUUUCCAACAUUCAAUUGUUAUCUUUCAUCCACUGUUCAAUCCAUUGUAUGAUCUGAUCCAAAUUUCUUUCCAGGUCCUCAGGUAUAUUACUUGGUAACUGAUGGACAAUCUCCUCCCGAUACGACUCCAUAGCCUCUUCAUAUAUAGUCUGGAAAAUCUCACACUGUAUAUUGUCCUCAAGUUUCUUUCCACUGUAACUCCUGAAAGUAAAUUCAAAUGUCAAUUGUCAUUUCCUGCAGUACAAAAAUUAAGCCACUGUGUCCAACCUUGCCAAUUAUCGUCUCAGAUUUGAUCGAAAGGCUGUGUUGUAUUACCUAAUUUAAGACAAAAGGAGCAGAAAUACUACAAUGCAAAUCAAAAUACCUGACAUUGAAAAAAGAUGAAAAAGUAACGUCAAGACAGCUUGCAUUUAUGUGGCCCAUUUCACACAGUAAAACAUCCCAAACCACAUGAAAGGAGCAGUAUGAAACAAAAUUUGCCAGUCACAUUAGGAAAUAUUAGGAUAGACGAACUAAAACUUGGUCAAAGAGUUAGGUUUUAUGGAACAUGUUAAAAGGUAGGAAGGGGGGUUCAGAAGGGAUUUCUACUGUUUAUGACCUCAAUAGCUGAAAGCAUGGCUGCCAAUAGUGCAGUGAUUAAAUUUGGAAAUACUUGAAAAACUAGAAGUGGAGGAGUACAACAAUUAUCUAGGACAAUGCUAAAGGAAGUUACAGAUACAUAGAGGGAUAAAGCCAUGGUUGAUUUGAAAACAAGGAUGGAAAUUCCAAAAUUUAAGAGUUGCUUAAAGAAAGCCAAUGAACUUCGGUGAGCUAAAGGUGACAGGACAUCAAUCAUUCUUAGUACAAGUUAAGACACUGAUACCAGAGUUUUAGGAGAUCUGAAGUUUAAGGAGGGUAGAGCAUAAGAAGCCAGCCAGUAAAGCAUUGGAACAGACAGGUGUAGAUCUAAUAUAGGUGGACCUGAGGGUUUCAGCAGGUAACCGGAGAUAGGACCUAGAUCUGGCAAAAGUAUGGAGGUGAAAAUCUGUGGUCUUGGUGAUUGAUGUGGUCACAAGUUUAUCUCAGGGUCAAAUACGGCAGGAAGGCUGCCAGGGAGAGGGUUGGGAAUAAUUGGUUAGCAGAUGGUGGAGAGGGCUGCAGACAAUGGCUUCAUCAUUCUGAAUAAUUUAUCUGGAGGAAAUUUCUAUUAAUCCAGAACUGGAUAUCAAGUAGUCAGACAUUUUAGAGUCAGUGCAGGAAUCUAAAGAUGUGGCACUGAGGAAGAACCAGGUUUUGUCAGCAUAUGAAUGAGAAACAGGACAGGAACCAAUGAUAUUUUGUUGGUACAAAACUGGGAGUAAUGAAGGAGCAGGACGAGAAGCCAUUUCAAGUGUUUAUGAUUAGAUGAUUAAGAAAGCGAAUCAAGAAAGCACACUCCCACCCAGCUUGAUAAUAACCAAGAGGUAUUGGUGAGGUUGGUGCAGUCAACUGUGUCAACCGAAGAAGAUAGGUUGAGAAGGGCGAAGACAGUCCCUUCUCCUGACUGGUAUCCAGCGCAGCAGAGUCUCCCAAACAUGUUUGUGUGAAAACUAGGUUUAAAAACAAGACUGAGCUCAACUGAAUUUACUAUAGAGUUCAUAUAGCCUGUUGACCUGCAGGACAAGACCUGAAAAAUUAUUAGCCACUUGAACAAGGUACAGGAAGAUAGCCAAUGUCUGGGAAACAAUAUUAUUUACCAUUACAUACAACUAUCUGUUCCAUGGCCUCAAGAAAAAUACUGAGUCCGUAGGAUGAUUUUUUUUGUAUGCGGCUAAAGAGGAAAAGACCGAGUAAACUGAAUUUUAAAUGAACAUAAAUAUCAUGUUAAAUAUUUAGUACCUGUUUUCCAAUCGGUCGUAUAAAAUUGAAUUAUCUGUACGAAGUACAAACACAAUGUGGAACCAGCGCUCCGGAAAGAAGUCACAACCAUGGUAAUCCACAAUUAUCCCACCUUCACUCAUCUUAUCAUCAAGCUCAUCAACUACCUGAAAAUCAGAUUAUUCUAGAAGUUAAAAAGUUGUAUGAGUCUUCUAUGAUAGAUUACAAACACAAGCAGGUGCAUAUACAUGUGCAAAUUUUUAGAUACAGAGAUUUUGGCUCAAAAUGAAAACAGUAGAAUUAUCAUUGUGCUGUAAAACAUGUGUGUCUGGGUGAAACUCAGCUUGUAACAGUAUUCACAAAAAAAUCCUUCAAUGAGUAGAAAAAUAUUUCACUUCGCAACGUCAACAGGCUCACAAGAACCAGGAGCAGGACUGGGCCAUCUGGCCCCUUAAGCCUGCCCUGCCAUUUAAUAAGGUCAUGGCUGAUCUUUAAGACUCAGCUCCACUUACUCACCCACUUACCAUAACCUUCAAUUUCUUUAUUGUUCAAAAAUUUAUCUCGCCUUGCCUUAAAAAGAAUCAGGGAGGUAGCUUCAACCGCUUCACUGGGCAGGGAAUUCCACAGAUGCACAACCCAUUGGGUGAAGAAGUUCCUCCUGACCUCAGUCCUACAUCUGCUUCCCUUGAUUUUGAGGUGAUGUCCUCUAGUCCUAGUUUCACCUGCCAGUGGAAACAACCUCCCUUUCUCCACCCUAUCUACUCCCUUCAUAAUCUUAUCUGUUUCUCUAAGAUCUCCCUUCAUUCUUCUGAAUUCCAACGAGUAUAAUCCCAGUCUAUUCCACAUCUGCACUGAGUUCUGAACACGAUGUGGUGUUGAAAUUAAUCUUAAUGUCUUCAUGUUUGGUCGAUGGGGUGGAACGAGGCAAAUUUCUGAUCAUAUUAAUGGGUCCUUUUCAAACUGGCAAGCAGUAACUACUGGGGUGCCACAGGGAUCGGUGCUGGAACCCCAGCUAUCCACAAUGUAUAUUAAUGAUUUGAAUGAAGGAACAAAAUGUAACAUCUCCACGUUUGCAGAUGAUACCAAGUCGGGCGGGAGGGUGAAUUGUGACAAGGACGCAGAGAUCCUUCAGCAGGAUUUCGAGAGGAUGUGUGAGUGGGUAAAUCAAUGAGGUUAUUCACUUUGGGAGCAAAACCAAGGAGGCACCUGAUAGCUGUAAACUGAGAGAGGGGAGUGUGCAGCGGUACCUGGGUGUCCUUGUGCACAAGUUGCUGAAGGUAAGCAUGCAGGCGCAGCAGGUGGUAUGUUGGCAAACGGUAUGUUGGCCUUCAUUGUGAGAGGUUUUGAAUACAGGAGCAGGGAUGUGUUGUUGCAGUUGUACAGGGCCAUGGUAAGACCACAUCUAUAAUAUUGGGUGCAGUUUUGGUCUCCUUUUCUAAGGAAGGAUGCUUUUGUUCUCAAGGAAGUGCAGCAAAGGUUUACCAGGCUGAUUCCAGGGGUCUGACAUGAGGACAGAUUGACUAGGUUGGGAUUGUUUUUGCUAGCGUUCAAGCGAACGAGGGAGGAUUUCAUAGAGACUGACAAAAAAUUUUUAACAGAACUGGACACGGUUGAUGUUCCUGAUGGAGGGUGCAUCCAGAACGAUGGGUCACAGUCUGAGGAUUCAGGAUAGAUGAUUUAGGAUGGAGAUAAGGAGACAUUUCAUCACCCAACGAGUGGUAAGCCUGUGGAAUUCAUUACCACAGGAAGUAGUUGAUGCCAAAACAUUGAAUAUAUUCAACGGGUGACUGGAGGUAGCAUUUGGGGAAAAUGGGAUCAAAGGUUAUGGGGAGAAAGCAGACUUAGGCUACUGAGUUGGACAAUCAGCCAUGAUUGUGAAGAAUGGCAGAGCAGGCUUAAAGGGCUGAAUGGCCUCUUCCUGCUAUCUUCUACAUUUCUAUGACCACUAUCCAGUUACUUGCGCUGUUUGGAUAUUCAAAGGCACUGAAUAGCUUUACUUCAGAUGGAUAGACCCUGCCAAACUAGCACACAGAUGACACAAAAUGGCCACUUGGAAGAUACACUGAAGUGCUGCUAAAGCCUGUGAAGCCAUAGCUGACAAGCAGAAGCACAAACAAAAAUAAAAUGGGAGAGAGAACAAAAAAAAACAACAUACAGACUUGGGGGCCACUACACUAAUAAAUCAUGCAAGGGUUUUUUUUUAAACCAGUAAUUCAUUUGACUUACUGGUGCAUGAUCUAAAAAUAAACAGGUCAAAAAGUGAUCGCAAGACAAGAAUAUGUUAGGAAUUUACUUAUUCUUGUGAAAGAUUUAAAUUUUAACAGCCGACAUCAUGAGCUGAAAUAUAUUAAAAUAUGUAUUUGGUUGAGGAGGGCAAAAAAGAAAAUUUUAGGAAUAAGAGUAGAUGAUUUAGCCCCUUGAGUCUGUUCCGCUAUUCAAUGAGAUCCUGGCUGAUCUGUGACCUGGCUCCAUAAGCCAAACUUUGUCCCACAGAUUUCUAUUAAAUCGAAGACAUUGAAUGACAUCAAUCUCAGAAAAAAAAAUUUUAAAACUGACUCAGCUUCAACUGACACUUACGGAGCAGAGGCUAAAACAUCUACUACCCUUUACAUAUAGAGACAUUUCCUGACUUUGCUCCUGCAAAGGCCUGACUCUCGUUUUUAGGCUGUCUUUAGAUUUCCCAACCAGCAGAAAUAGUUUGUCUGUCUCUACUAUGUAUGUUCCCUGCAAUAUCUUGAAAGCUUCAAUCAAGUCACAUCAAAGCCUUCCAAGGAAUACAUCCCUAAUUUGUGCAAAACUUCUUGUUGGAAUUUUUUUAUAAUUCUGGUAAUUAUACAUUAUACUAAAUCUGAGGCCUGUACACCCGUCACAAGAUGUGGUAUCCAAACUGAACACCAUAUUCCAAGUGUAAAUGAAUGAAGGAAAAUAAUUUAAAUUCCAAAUUGAACUUAAGUUGACUCCUAUAUUUUUAAAUAUAGUCAUAAACCAAGAGACACUCAUUAAAUAUUUAAAUAUUGAGCUAAGAUCAGGUUUAAAAAAAAGUCUGCUUAGGCAUUAAGAAGUUCAUUUCGCCCCACUCAAACUAUUUACAAAUAAGAAAAAGGUCGUUAGAAGUUUGUAUAGCUGUCUAGACUCUAUGAACCCGAUCAAUUUAAUCAGAAACCAAAAUUUCAAGGAGAUACUAUAAAAUUAGCAGCAACUACACAUCUAAUCAACAUUUAAACAAAAGCAUGGACAUGGAAAAAUUACUUUGUUCAAAUUGAUUUUGCAUUACAGUAUAUCGCAACCUCACCCUGUCUUCAUCCAGAAUGGGACAUGAGUAUUCCUCAUCAUAGCCUUCAUAAAGAUUACCUUUACAAGAACAUUAGAAAUGCAGCACAGUUUACAUCAUAUUUUCAAGCAGAUGAAUUACAUCAACACACACUUUGCAAAUGUUGCGGCAGAAAAUAUUUAACUGCAGCAGUAUGAAAAAAUAUAUAAAACCCUGAAAAAAAUGACAGGACUGAGCAGUGAUUAUUACUUUUCAUUGUUUUGCCGAAUGCAAAAUGUCUAUUGAUUUACUUGUACAACUACAUUGUGUUCAAGUCUUGAUAAAAGAAAUUUUUAUUGAUUCAUGGGAUGAGGGCUUCACUGGCUAGACCAGCAUUUAUUGCCCAUCUCUCAAGGCUAUGAGGACACUUAAGAGUCAACCACAUUACUGUGGGUCUGCAGUCACAAAGGCUUAACCUGGCAAGGACGGCAGUUUGCUUCCUAAAGGACAUUAGUGAACCAGGUGGGUUUUUCUAACAAUCAACAAUGGAUUCAUGGUGAUCAUUAGACUCUUAAUUCCAGAUUGUUUUUAUUGAAUUUAAAUUUCAUCAUCUGCCAGGGCUGGAUUUGAAUCAGGGUCCCAGAACAUCAGGAUUAAUAGUCCAAUGAUAAUACCACUAGGCAGUUGCAUUGAUCAGAUAAACUGAUGCAGAGGUGUGAGAAUUGCUAUGAAAAUAGUAUCAGCUAUGUCCUGUAUUAUCCAACACAAUUUUUUAUUUUUAAAAAUCACCCUGUGCUUUUACUAAUAUUUUGCAUGCUGGAAUGGCACAUCUAAAAAAAAUCUCUACGCAAACAUAAGACCUUUAUUAACUCCUACAUGUUUUGAAAAUGAACAAAUGCAUUUCUUUUGAUAAUACUAAGGCAAGAAGAAUUCACUUGAAUUAUGAAAAUCCCUUCUGCAACUCUCAAAUUCAGUACUGGGUUAACAUCUUUUUGGAUUCAAAAAGCUCAAUCACCUACUGAUAAAGAAUAUUCCACUGUACCUUAAUGUGUGGAAAAUUGUCUUUUAAUUUCUGGACUAGUCAUGUUAAUCAAGAUUAACAGUAUAUACUAUUGAGCAGUAUUAUCGAGUCCAGCUCUCCAGAAUUACCAAUCUUUGUUCAUGAACAACUAGAUUUGUAUAAGAUCUGACAGCAGGCUAUUCCAGUAGCCAAAUGAAGUUGAAGAGUAAACUGGUUAGAUUAUAUGAUAACUCAUUUCAUCCAGAAAUUACCAUAUUAAUAUUUUGAAACAGUUCUUUUUUCCAUUCAUGUUCACCUUCUUUUGCAAGUUCUCCCACAUUAAUGUAUGUAAAUCCAGUUCUUCCAGCUAAUUCUUUACCAAGGGUAGUCUUUCCAACA
Long non-coding RNA from Stegostoma tigrinum, 8366 nucleotides. RefSeq lists it as uncharacterized. The transcript is spliced from 3 exons. The record is from RefSeq and is a predicted model, not a curated record. Lineage: Eukaryota; Metazoa; Chordata; Chondrichthyes; Orectolobiformes; Stegostomatidae.